UACGUAGGGACCAAGCGUUGUUCGGAUUUACUGGGCGUAAAGGGCGCGUAGGCGGCGCGGUAAGUCACUUGUGAAAUCUCUGAGCUUAACUCAGAACGGCCAAGUGAUACUGCAGUGCUAGAGUGUGGAAGGGGCAAUCGGAAUUCUUGGUGUAGCGGUGAAAUGCGUAGAUAUCAAGAGGAACACCUGAGGUGAAGACGGGUUGCUGGGCCAACACUGACGCUGAGGCGCGAAAGCAUGGGGAGCGAACAGG
RNAcentral lists this ribosomal RNA (253 nucleotides) under uncultured bacterium. RNAcentral describes it as "partial 16S ribosomal RNA". It matches the Rfam family "Bacterial small subunit ribosomal RNA", at positions 524 to 776 of the family's 1533-position model. The record is from RNAcentral.